This 263-nucleotide unclassified non-coding RNA is filed under the name soil metagenome. Its description in RNAcentral is "partial contains small subunit ribosomal RNA, internal transcribed spacer 1, and 5.8S ribosomal RNA". The record is from RNAcentral.
UUUCCGUAGGUGAACCUGCGGAAGGAUCAUUAAAACGUCCAAAAACGUACACCAUUAAACCGGUUGUUGGGCUGAAAAGUCCCUUCUCAAAUAGCAAUAGGCGCGAAUGCACUUGGGUGUGUUUGCGUUGAGUUGGGACCCUCAAUCGCCUUUGGAGCCUGACGACUGGUUUUCCUAUUGAUUCAUUUUACCAUUGUGUCUUGUCUAACUACCUGAAAAACAUAACAAACGAACAAUUCUUAGCAACGGAUAUCUUGGCUCUC